RNAcentral lists this ribosomal RNA (775 nucleotides) under uncultured Neocallimastigales. Its description in RNAcentral is "partial large subunit ribosomal RNA". It matches the Rfam family "Eukaryotic large subunit ribosomal RNA", at positions 24 to 649 of the family's 3401-position model. Lineage: Eukaryota; Fungi; Neocallimastigomycota; Neocallimastigomycetes; Neocallimastigales. The record is from RNAcentral.
UAUCUCUGUAGAGUCUGCAUAUCAAUAAGCGGAGGAAAAGAAACUAACUAGGAUUCCCUCAGUAACGGCGAGUGAAGCGGGAAGAGCUCAAAUUUGAAAUCUUCAAGGUUCUACCUUGACGAAUUGUAGUUUAAAGAAGUGUUUUCUGUUGAAGUUUUGGUAAAAGUUCUUUGGAAUAGGACAUCAUAGAGGGUGAGGAUCCCGUAUUUGACCAUUAUUUCCAGCUUUGUGAUACACUUUCAAAGAGUCGGAUUGUUUGGGAAUGCAGUCCAAAAUGGGUGGUAAAUUUCAUCUAAAGCUAAAUAUUGGCGAGAGACCGAUAGCGAACAAGUACCGUGAGGGAAAGAUGAAAAGAACUUUGAAAAGAGAGUUAAACAGUACGUGAAAUUGUCAAAAGGGAAGCGUUUGACACCAGUGUUGUUUUCUUGAAAAUCAAUUAAAAAAGAUUGGAUUUUGUGUUGUAUUGACUUUAUCAGCUUUCUGCACUUUUUUCUUGUCUUUUUUAAUGCACUUUUCGUUUAACAAGUCAACAUCAAUUUCUUUUGUUGUAAAAGGAGUCAUUGGAAGGUGGCUUUCACUUCGGUGAAAGUGUUUAUAGCCUUUGACUUCUGCAAUCGGAGAGAUUGAGGUCUGCAGCGUAGAUCCUUCGGGGUUAGAUACAUUUGUGCUAAGCUAUAGCCUUGUAUAGACAACUUGUUGACUAUGCUCAGUCAUGUAGCUUACUCGCUUAUGCUAUUUUACCUACGCUUAGGAUGUUGAGUAGCGACAUACGCAC